Molecule: ribosomal RNA, 253 nt
Filed under: uncultured bacterium
Lineage: Bacteria
Description: partial 16S ribosomal RNA
Rfam family: Bacterial small subunit ribosomal RNA
Source: RNAcentral
UACAGAGGUCUCAAGCGUUGUUCGGAUUCAUUGGGCGUAAAGGGUGCGUAGGCGGCGCGGUAAGUCGGGUGUGAAAUCUUGGAGCUUAACUCCGAAACUGCAUUCGAUACUGCCGUGCUUGAGGACUGGAGAGAAGACUGGAAUUUACGGUGUAGCGGUGAAAUGCGUAGAUAUCGUAAGGAAGACCAGUGGCGAAGGCGGGUCUCUGGACAGUUCCUGACGCUGAGGCACGAAGGCCAGGGGAGCAAACGGG